Molecule: ribosomal RNA, 1525 nt
Filed under: uncultured bacterium
Lineage: Bacteria
Description: bacterial SSU rRNA
Rfam family: Bacterial small subunit ribosomal RNA
Source: RNAcentral
AGAGUUUGAUCCUGGCUCAGGAUGAACGCUGNCGGCGUGCUUAAUACAUGCAAGUUGAACGAACAAGAAUCUAGCUUGCUAGAUUCAAGUUAGUAGCGAACGGGUGAGUAAUACAUAAAUAACCUGCCCUGAAGAGUGGGACAACGCUUGGAAACGAACGCUAAUACCACAUAGGUAAUCGGAAGGCAUCUUCUGAUUAUUAAAGUUGCGUUUGCAACACUACAGGAUGGAUUUAUGGCGCAUUAGUUAGUUGGUGAGGUAACGCCCANCCAAGACGAUGAUGGUGUAGCCGNCCUGAGAGGGUGAACGGCCACAUUGGGACUGAGACACGGCCCAGACUCCUACGGGAGGCAGCAGUAAGGAAUUUUCGGCAAUGGAGGAAACUCUGACCGAGCAACGCCGCGUGAGUGAUGAAGGUCUUCGGAUCGUAAAGCUCUGUUGUGAAGGACGAAUACGAAAAGUAGGCAAUGACUUUUCGCUGACGGUACUUUACUAGAAAGUCACGGCUUACUACGUGCCAGCAGCCGCGGUAAUACGUAGGUGGCAAGCGUUAUCCGGAUUUAUUGGGCGUAAAGGGUGCGUAGGCGGUCUAUUAAGUUUGGGGUAAAAGCGUUGAGCUUAACUCAAUCAAGCCUUGAAUACUGAUAGACUAGAGUGCAGAAGGGGAUAAUGGAAUUCCAUGUGUAGCGGUAAAAUGCGUAGAUAUAUGGAGGAACACCAGCAGCGAAGGCGGUUAUCUGGUCUGUAACUGACGCUGAGGCACGAAAGCGUGGGGAGCAAAUAGGAUUAGAUACCCUAGUAGUCCACGCCCUAAACGAUGAGAACUAAGUGUUGGAGAAAUUCAGCGCUGCAGUUAACGCAAUAAGUUCUCCGCCUGAGGAGUAUGCACGCAAGUGUGAAACUUAAAGGAAUUGACGGGGCCCCGCACAAGCGGUGGAGUAUGCGGUUUAAUUCGACGCAACGCGAAGAACCUUACCAGGCCUUGACAUCCCUUGCAAAGUCUUAGAGAUAAGAUAGAGGUUAUCAAGGUGACAGGUGGUGCAUGGUUGUCGUCAGCUCGUGUCGUGAGAUGUUGGGUUAAGUCCCGCACCGAGCGCAACCCUUGUCUUUAGUUACCAUCAUUUAGUUGGGGACUCUAGAGAGACUGCCGGUGAUAAACCGGAGGAAGGUGGGGAUGACGUCAAAUCAUCAUGCCCUUUAUGGCCUGGGCUACACGCGUACUACAAUGGCGUAGACAAUUAGAUGCAAGAUGGUGACAUGGAGCAAAACUGUAAACUACGUCUCAGUUCGGAUCGAAGUCUGCAACCCGACUUCGUGAAGUUGGAAUCGCUAGUAAUCGCAGAUCAGCAUGCUGCGGUGAAUACGUUCUCGGGGCUUGUACACACCGCCCGUCAAACCAUGAGAGUCGGUAAUACCCGAAGCCGGUGGCAUAACCGUAAGGAGUGAGCUGUCUAAGGUAGGACCGAUGAUUGGGGUUAAGUCGUAACAAGGCAUCCCUACGAGAACGUGCGUCUGGAUCACCUCC